UGAGUUAAACGCCUGGAACCUGUCGUUGAUGGGGGAUAACGCUGGGAAACCGGCGCUAAUACCGCAUGUGGUUGGUGUGCGAGAGUGCACUAAAGAAAGGCCUUUCGGGGUCGCUCGAUGAGGGGCCUGCGUCCGAUUAGCUAGUUGGUGGGGUAAAGGCCUACCAAGGCGACGAUCGGUAGCUGGUCUGAGAGGAUGGUCAGCCACACUGGGACUGAGACACGGCCCAG
This 230-nucleotide ribosomal RNA is filed under the name uncultured bacterium. RNAcentral's name for it is "partial 16S ribosomal RNA". It matches the Rfam family "Bacterial small subunit ribosomal RNA", at positions 107 to 334 of the family's 1533-position model. The record is from RNAcentral.